UGAAUCUAUGUUGCACACCCUGAUAC
This 26-nucleotide non-coding RNA is filed under the name Mus musculus (house mouse). Lineage: Eukaryota; Metazoa; Chordata; Mammalia; Rodentia; Muridae. The record is from RNAcentral.